UACGUAGGGUGCAAGCGUUGUCCGGAAUUAUUGGGCGUAAAGAGCUCGUAGGCGGUCUGUCGCGUCGGAUGUGAAAACCCAGGGCUCAACCCUGGGCCUGCAUUCGAUACGGGCAGACUAGAGUUCGGUAGGGGAGAUUGGAAUUCCUGGUGUAGCGGUGGAAAUGCGCAGAUAUCAGGAGGAACACCGGUGGCGAAGGCGGGUCUCUGGGCCGAUACUGACGCUGAGGAGCGAAAGCGUGGGGAGCGAACAGG
RNAcentral lists this ribosomal RNA (254 nucleotides) under uncultured bacterium. Its description in RNAcentral is "partial 16S ribosomal RNA". It matches the Rfam family "Bacterial small subunit ribosomal RNA", at positions 524 to 776 of the family's 1533-position model. The record is from RNAcentral.